This 763-nucleotide unclassified non-coding RNA is filed under the name Hevea brasiliensis (rubber tree). The record is from RNAcentral. Lineage: Eukaryota; Viridiplantae; Streptophyta; Magnoliopsida; Malpighiales; Euphorbiaceae.
GCGUCUUGAGAGCACUGGUCAGGUAAAUUCCUGUAUUAUUUUUGUUCAUUUUAUUAUCAGACAUUGGGGCUCCAAUUCUAGACAUUUCCCUUCUGAACUUCGCAUCAUGAUUUUGUGAAGCAUAGCAUUUAAAUGAAAAAUAUAUUGGUGCAUUUAUCCAAUACAUGUCCUUCCCAAUUUUAAUGUCAAACCUAAGUUCUAGAGGUGUUUGCUUUGGUAUCUAGCUAUUAUUUAUUUGGAAUAAAAGAUAUGAUGAGGAAUUGGGGAUUUAUGUCAGUUUACAAUAGCAACAUUUUAAUCAGAAAAGAAUGUCAGUAUGGUAAACUCUUGAUCAAAUAUGACAUUCCUAUCCUACAUUUUUUCAAUAAUGUAAGGCAGUGGAAUCCUAUCUUACAUUUAUGAGAGGCUAUCGAAUUGUUGUCUUCUUUCAUUCCAGUUUGUCCUUGAUGAUAACUUUACUAUUUUCAAGUUUUAGGCUAGUUAGAAAUAGGCCAACACUAGUACACUAAGCUUGUUGAUGUUUUGCACCUACUAUGGGCUCUUGGUACUACAUGGCAUUGCUAAUGUUUUGAAUUUCAAGGGAAGAGAGCGGCUGUAGAUGAUUUUAGUAGCUAAAUAGUAAUGUUGUAUUGGGCUCAAAUUUAUGAUCUAAAGGUUGGUGGGCAUAGAUUUUAAGAUUUGAAUUUCUAUUUUGUACUUUGAGGGACUAGCAACUGAAUGUCAGUGACUUUGGCGGUAGUUUCAGGGUUGAGGUGAUUUUGAU